UUCACCAUGUUGGCCAGGCUCUCAAACCCCUGACCUAGUGAUCCUCCCGCCUCUGCCGCCCAAAUUCCUGGGAUUGCAGUAGUGAGCCACCGCGCCCGGCCUAUUUUUUUCAGUCUUAUCUUCUCUACCUCACCACCUCACAGUAAAGCAUAUAGGUUCGACAACAUCACCAAGGACCAAACAUUGUGGUAGAUGUACAUGCAAUGUACAUGCAGAGUACAGGUUGAUGCCUGAAUAAAGAGAUGCUGGGUGAGUGUCUGAACCUAGAUGACAUGGAGGAGUCCUGCAGAAAAUAUUUGCUAUUGAAUUCAAAGGUCUAUAGAGAGUUCUCAACUAAUGAAAAAUCAUUGCAUUAUCUUGAGAGCAAUAGCAAUGAUCAUGCCAACAGUAAUUCAGACUGUGUCAUAAGUUGGGUCACACAGUCCCUAUUUUCAAACUUUGUGGAUGUCUGUCAACUGGCAGUGAAUUGUAUUCAGGAGAAAAGAAGUCUAAAAUACAUAAGAUAUUUUGCCUGCUAUGAAGCCAUUGGAGAAUCAGGUCCAGCUGUGUCCUACAGAUUUAUACCCUCACUUUGGAUGCACUGUGAAUCUUGAAACAAAAUUGGUUCCUUCCGGUGGGUUCCUGGCUGACUUCAAGAAUGAAGCUGCAGACACUUAUGGACUGGGAGGAGGCCCACGAGAAAAACAGGAAGAACAAGAGAAAGGCUGAGGCUCUAGUGGCUGCUUUGCAGACUUGCAGAGUCCAGGAUCCCCCAGGAACUUCCACUGAUUGCUACCUGUUACCAGUGUUAAAGCCAGGGCACUUUAAGAAGAAUUGCCCAAGCCACAAGAAAAAGCCACCUUGACCACUUUUGUGGUGAAGACCACUGGAGAUUGCACUACUGACCACCAAGACAGAGACACAAUAGCGAAUCUAGAAGUGGAAGUGUGAGAGAUACCUGCAGCUGUUAAGAUGUCUGGGAAUAGACACACAAACUCUCUCUCCCAGAUAAGCAACACAAAGCAGCACAGAGCAACAGAGACUGAAAGUCUGCCUACCUGAUCAGGGAAUAAGGUGAGAGUUGAUAAAGACUCUGCUCUAUACAGAAAGCAUACCUGGUUCCAACUAAAUCAUCAGGUUUUAUGAGGAUAAGACAUCCUCUCCUCACUAGUGCCCUCCUCAUUAGCCCAUUUACAAAAACCCUGAGAUUUUAGCACAGCUUGGCAACCUACUCAGGGCUCCUCUCUAUGCUGAAGAGCUGUUCUUUUUGUCUAUUAAACUCCUGCUCUAAACUCAUUCUAUGGGUGUGUGUAUCCACAGCCUUGAUCCACUUGGCUGUGAGACUAAGAUCCUUGGUAUUUACCACAGACAAUUAGGU
Molecule: long non-coding RNA, 1357 nt
Filed under: Homo sapiens (human)
Lineage: Eukaryota; Metazoa; Chordata; Mammalia; Primates; Hominidae
Description: testis expressed transcript, Y-linked 10
Source: RNAcentral